ACUUAGCCCCGAUUGGAUGGAUGCCCCCGAUAUUUCAUCGGGGCAGGAAGGAAAGCGGGACUGCUG
This 66-nucleotide unclassified non-coding RNA is filed under the name Pedobacter soli. RNAcentral's name for it is "Flavo-1 RNA". The record is from RNAcentral. Lineage: Bacteria; Pseudomonadati; Bacteroidota; Sphingobacteriia; Sphingobacteriales; Sphingobacteriaceae.